Molecule: ribosomal RNA, 360 nt
Filed under: Triticum aestivum (bread wheat)
Lineage: Eukaryota; Viridiplantae; Streptophyta; Magnoliopsida; Poales; Poaceae
Description: partial small subunit ribosomal RNA
Source: RNAcentral
AUGAGCGCGAGCAGCGUGCGAGCGUCAGUUUGCUGGUUCGACCCCUGCCUAGCGCCCUUCCAUUUUAUUUUUGCUAAGGCGCCCCCACUAAUCAUAGAGACGUAUAAAAAAACAACCGGCGCCGUCGUCAGGACCUCCGGCGAGGACCGUCUCGCGCUCGACACGGCUGGACGCCGGUGGUUCUUCUGCGGCGUCAGCCCGCACUACAAGAGCGGCAUGAAGCUCAAGAUCAUCGUCCUCGACACCGCUGCGCCGACUCGCCGGCCUGCCCCGACCAACCCUGCUGGCAAGCUGCAGGCGCACUUUGGUGAGAGGGCCGCCGCGGUCACCGCGCUCGCUGCGGCCUUGCUCAUGCUCUAG